AUGGCCGACGCGCCGCCGCCGCUGGGGCCGCCCGCGAGCUCCUCCGAUCCGCCCCCGCCGGCGGAGCCCGGCGAGCCGCUCUCCCGCGGCUACCUCUCGCUCCGCCAGGCCGGCCCCGCCAGCGAGGAGGAGGCGUCGCCAGCGCCCGCGGGACCGCCCGACGAACGGUGCAGGGCGAUGAUGGAGGUGGUGAGGAAGGACGGCGGGGUGGGCGGGGAUGAGGGCAAGUGGAAGGUGUCCAAGCUGGUGGUGGAGCACAACCACGUGCUGGAAGCGGCGGCUACGGGGGAGGCUGCCCCCUCCGCGGCCGCGGCCGCGCCGGAGCUAGGGAUGGAGUUCGACUCCGUCCAGGACGCCAAGGGCUUCUACUACGGCUACGGCGAGAGGGCCGGGUUCAAGGCGCGCACCGGCUCCAACCGCCGCUCGGCCGGCACGGGGGGCAUGAUCAUGCAGCGGUUCCUCUGCUGCAGAGGCAAUUACUCCUACAGGAAGGGUAACAAAGCCAAGGAUUCGGCAGCCCCGAAGGAGGUGGAGGAGGGUGCCGCGGGGGAAGGGGAAGGGGAAGGGAAGGUUGGGGCGCAUAAGAAGAGGGGCCGCAAGCCCGGGAAGAAGAGCACGCCGGUGAUCAAGGUGAAGAACUCGGUGGAGAAGGGUGUCGCAACAGCAGGCACAGGGAAUGGGCAAGCAGUACCUAGUACGGAGAAUUUGGGGAGAGGUGGGGAUAAGAAGGAUGCUGUGGAGAAGGAUGUCGAGUCUGUCGUCGAACUGGAGGAGGAACAUGUUGAGGUGGAGGAUGCUGCACAGGAUGGUGCCCAUGACCUCGGUGACGGCGACGAUGCUAAUUCUGAUGCUCAUGAGGGUGAAAUGGAAAAGGAGGUGGAGGUCAAGGAAAAGAGAGGGAGGGGGAGGCCGAGAAAGGCUGUUACAGAGGAUAAUGCCCUUCAGGCAUGUGUGUCGACGGACCUUGGUGUGAUGGCGUCGCAGUGCGCUGUUGAUGAGAGAAAGAAGAUACUUAAUAAGUAUCUCUCGAAGCGACAGAGCAGACCUGCCUCGGGCAGGCCUGCCAAGAUUGUCUCAUGCCAAGCUUUGGCGGAAAGGCGUAAGCGUGGUGAUGGAGGUAGAUUUCUGUCAAGCGACGGACCGCUGCCGUCAGAAAGGCGUUCAAAACGUCUUGAGAAGCAAAAUCUUAAAAAUGAAAAGAAGCCUGAGAGUAAAGAAGAUGAAAUAGUUGAAGCGGAACAGGAUCCAGAAACUGAAGUAGUAGCUGGGCCUGGAGGAGAACCAAAAGUUGGUAUGGUUUUCCUGAAUGAAGACAAGGCCUAUGAGUUUUAUGUCAGCUAUGCUGGAACUGCAGGAUUCAAUGUCCGAAAAGGAUGCUCUGAGAAAACAGCAAAUAAUGUUACGAGGUCUCGGUCUUAUGUAUGUUCUAAAGAGGGCUUCCAUCCUAAAAGUGUUACUGCUGAGCCAAAGAAACAACGAGCAGAAAUAAGAACUGGCUGCGAAGCACACAUGACUGUUAGAAUCACUACUAGCGGCAAAUAUGUUGUGACUGAGUAUGUGGCUGAUCAUAAUCAUGAUCUUGAAGCUCCCUUGGUGGACAUUCAGAUUCUUAGAUCACAGAAGUUAUUAGCAAAGUUACAGCAGCCUCCGGAUCCACCAAAAGUUGUUUUGAUACCAAAUGAUUAUAAAAAUUACGUAAGGACAAGACACACGAAGGAUAUGCAAUCAGGCGAUGCUCAGGCAAUUUCUGAAUAUUUACAGAGGAUGAAAGGCAAGAAUCCUUCAUUCUUUUGUUCCAUUCAAGUGGAUGAAGACGACCAAUUCAGAAAUGUAUUCUGGGCAGAUGUUAAAUCAGUGAUGGACUUUAACUACUUCGGUGAUGUAGUAUGUGUUGACACAAGGUAUAGCACAAGUGAUUAUUGUAGGCCUUUGUUGUUGUUCAUUGGAGUUAACCAUCAUAAGGAGCCAACCAUAUUUGGUACAGCAUUUAUUUAUGAUGAAUCAGUCGAAUCCUUCAAGUGGUUGUUUGAAACUUUCAAGUCUGCUAUGAGCGGUAAGCAGCCAAGAACAGUUUUGACUGAUCGCUCUACAGCAAUAAGCGAUGCAGUUGCUUCUGCUUGGCCAGGGACUGCCCAUCGCUUCUCACUGUUGCAUUUAUAUCAAAAUGCCACCAAGGUACUAAGCGAUACAUUCCAAGGUUCGGAAACUUUUGCCCAUGAUUUUAGUCGGUCUUUGUAUGACUAUGAGGAGGAGGGGGACUUCUUGUCUAGCUGGGAAAUCCUCUUGGCGAAGUACAAUCUGAAAGACAACGAGUGGCUAAGUAAAUUGUAUGAGGAUAGAGAAAGAUGGGCUUUGCCUUAUGGGCGUGAUAUAUUCUGUGCAGAUAUUGCAGCCACACUCCGAAGUGAUAACAUGGAUGCCAUCCUGACAGGUGUUCUUAAAACAGAAAUAGAUCUUCCAUACUUCUUCAACAGAUAUGAUAAAUUUUUGGAGGAGAAACGUCUAGCUGAACAACAAGCUGACUACCUUGGAGUUCAAAUGACACAGAGGGUACCACCUCUGCGGUUACUCUGGCAAGCUGCUAAUACAUAUACUCCUGCACUGUUUGAGAUGUUCAGGUUAGAAUUUGAACUGGUCUUGUCCUGCAUGGUUUAUUGCUGUGGUGAAAUUGGACCAAUAUCCGAGUAUGAGGUAACUGUCAAAAACAGACCUCAAGUCCAUUUUGUUAGAUUUGACUCAUCAGAAUAUAUGGUCGUUUGUAGCUGCAAGAAGUUUGAAUUCGUAGGCCUUCCAUGUUGCCAUGUACUGAAAGUUCUUGAGAUAAAAAAUAUCAAAGAACUUCCACCACAAUAUAUUUUGAAAAGAUGGCGAAAGGAUGCUCAGAGUGAAUCUCCAAAGGAGAACUUCGGUUUUGCUGCUGUGGAUGAAGAUCCCAAGUUCACGGUGUCUAAACGGCACAAUUCGCUGUAUCGAACUUUAUAUAAAGUGGCAGCAAAGGCUGCAGAAAACAUUGAAGGUCAGAGAUUUAUGGAGAGCCAAUAUGAUCAGCUCCUGGAGCAAGUUGAGCUUCUUUUGCAAGCAAAGUUGCAUGACAAGCCUUCCUUAAGCACUAUCAUGAGAAGUCAACAGCCAAAUUUGCCUCAGAAUGAUACCAGCAACAGUGAACCUCGCAGAGCAAGUAGUAAGAAAAAUAAAAAUGUAGAGAAUCGUCGCCAGCAGCAAAGUCCUCUUGAAUCAAGUAAAAAGAAAAAAGGUAGACAAGGUCUAGUGGAGCCUGAGGAGGCUGAACUCCCACUUAGGGUUCUUGCUCCCACAAUAUCGAAUGACAUCCCGAAUCACAUGAGUACUCCAACCAACCAGUUCCUUGCCCCAAAUCAUAUAAUGCAGGCACCAUAUGUUACACAGCAGUUUGGUCUUAAUUCUCUUCAAGGAUUUUCUGGGAUGACGCCAUUUGGGCAGAUGCAGGAACAAUCACCUGUUCAUCUUCAGCAACCUCAUCUACAACAAUCACCCUUUCAUGGCGGUCCUCAAAUGCACCAGGCUCCCCCUCCAGAUAUCCAGUCAUUGCAAUUUCUUAGCAGUAAUCCUCAGCUGGGCCACCAGACCACGGAUCAAGGCCAGUACACCAUCCCAGUAUGGGAUUUCCUGUGA
Molecule: ribosomal RNA, 3651 nt
Filed under: Triticum aestivum (bread wheat)
Lineage: Eukaryota; Viridiplantae; Streptophyta; Magnoliopsida; Poales; Poaceae
Description: partial small subunit ribosomal RNA
Source: RNAcentral